RNAcentral lists this ribosomal RNA (305 nucleotides) under uncultured bacterium. RNAcentral's name for it is "bacterial SSU rRNA". It matches the Rfam family "Bacterial small subunit ribosomal RNA", at positions 334 to 656 of the family's 1533-position model. The record is from RNAcentral.
UGUUCCUACGGGACGCAGCAGUGGGGAAUAUUGCACAAUGGGGGAAACCCUGAUGAAGCAACGCCGAGUGAGUGAAGAAGUAUUUCGGUAUGUAAGGCUCUAUCAGCAGGGAAGAGAAUGACGGUACCUGACUAAGAAGCCCCGGCUAACUACGUGCCAGCAGCCGCGGUAAUACGUAGGGGGCGAGCGUUAUCCGGAUUUACUGGGUGUAAAGGGAGCGUAGACGGUUCUGCAAGUCUGAAGUGAAAGCCCGUGGCUUAACCGCGGGACGGCUUGGGAAACUGUGGAACUGGAGUGCUGGAGAG